This 253-nucleotide ribosomal RNA is filed under the name uncultured bacterium. Its description in RNAcentral is "partial 16S ribosomal RNA". It matches the Rfam family "Bacterial small subunit ribosomal RNA", at positions 524 to 776 of the family's 1533-position model. The record is from RNAcentral.
UACGUAGGGUGCAGGCGUUAAUCGGAAUCACUGGGCGUAAAGCGCACGUAGGCGGAUUGUUAAGUCGGGGGUGAAAUCCUGAGGCUCAACCUCAGAACUGCCUUCGAUACUGGCGAUCUUGAGUCCGGAAGAGGUUGGUGGAACAGCUAGUGUAGAGGUGAAAUUCGUAGAUAUUAGCUAGAACACCAGUGGCGAAGGCGGCCAACUGGUCCGGAACUGACGCUGAGGUGCGAAAGCGUGGGGAGCAAACAGG